Molecule: ribosomal RNA, 309 nt
Filed under: uncultured eukaryote
Lineage: Eukaryota
Description: partial 18S ribosomal RNA
Rfam family: Eukaryotic small subunit ribosomal RNA
Source: RNAcentral
CCCUUAGAUGUUCUGGGCGGCCCGCGCACUACAUUGGCACUAGCAAAGAGAUCCUAGAUUGAAUUCUUUGGGGUAUUCUUCUAAAUGGUGUCGUGACUGGGAUAAAUCCUUGUAAUUAUUGGUUUUGAACGAGGAAUUCCUUGUAACCGCGGUUUAUCAGCUCGCGUUGAAUGCGUCCCUGCCCUUUGUACACACCGCCCGUCGCUCCUACCGAUGGAUCGUCCGGUGAAGCUCACGGAGUGACUGUUCACGCAACGGUUUACGAAGUGAAAUGGACCUCACGAUUUAGAGGAAGGAGAAGUCGUAACA